AUUGAACGCUGGCGGCAGGCCUAACACAUGCAAGUCGAGCGGAUGAAGGGAGCUUGCUCCUGGAUUCAGCGGCGGACGGGUGAGUAAUGCCUAGGAAUCUGCCUGGUAGUGGGGGAUAACGUCCGGAAACGGGCGCUAAUACCGCAUACGUCCUGAGGGAGUAAGGGGGGGAUCUUCGGACCUCACGCUCUCAGAUGAGCCUAGGUCGGAUUAGCUAGUUGGUGGGGUAAAGGCCUACCAAGGCGACGAUCCGUAACUGGUCUGAGAGGAUGAUCAGUCACACUGGAACUGAGACACGGUCCAGACUCCUACGGGAGGCAGCAGUGGGGAAUAUUGGACAAUGGGCGAAAGCCUGAUCCAGCCAUGCCGCGUGUGUGAAGAAGGUCUUCGGAUUGUAAAGCACUUUAAGUUGGGAGGAAGGGCAGUAAGUUAAUACCUUGCUGUUUUGACGUUACCAACAGAAUAAGCACCGGCUAACUUCGUG
Molecule: ribosomal RNA, 484 nt
Filed under: uncultured bacterium
Lineage: Bacteria
Description: partial 16S ribosomal RNA
Rfam family: Bacterial small subunit ribosomal RNA
Source: RNAcentral